UCUGGCCAGGUCUGUGCAGGAAGCCAUCAUCCUGCAUCUUUCUCCCACAGAGGAUGCAGCCCACAGCUACACCAAGAUCAUAUUGGAGAAAAUCCAUUCCUGCCUAUGUUCAAAAGCAUUUUGGAUGUGCACUGGUAGGGGCGGAUCUGGGCAUCAUGGUGCCCGGGCUCUGCUGGCUGCCUCCGCACUUCCUGCUCCAUUGGGGGGUGGGGGGGGGUUAAGCCCUCCCAGAGGUGCCAGGUGGUGCUGCAGCCCAGGCUAAGCUAAUGCUCCUGCUGGGACCAGCCCUACAGGGUCCUGGCUACAGGGUCUUGCCCCUCAGCUCAGGGUCAAGAAUUUGCCCCCUGCUCGGCCCCGUUUGGCCCUGUGGGGUUCCCCUCCCUCUGCAGUAGGGGCAUGACCUGGGCUUUCUGCAACAUCUCCAACCUCUGGCAGCAGUAAGAUGUGGGGCCAUGGCCCCCCUGCUGUCCCCGGGGCAGAGGUGGGGGCGAGGCCUGGGGUUAACGGCGGCUGUAGGAAGUGGCUGGAGGGUGGAAGUGUCUGGGCUGCACGGGGCUGAUCCUGCUGCCUCAGGCAGGGGUUGGGCUGGACAUGCCCCUGGGUCCUUUCCAGCCCCCGGCUUGGGGAACCCAGGUGUCUAGGAGUAGGGAAGUUGCUGUUUGUGCUGCGCUCGCUGUCUCCUCUGGCACCCACUUCCCCUCCCAGUCACCUUUUUAGUGGUGGUGAUACCGACGACACUGGGGCUGUCUAAGACAUCAGGGAUACAUGGGGCACUCGUGCUGAAGAAUGACACCCUUGUGCCUUCCUCCAGUCCCUGUAAGGAAGGGGAGUGAGGGGAGCUGGGGUUCAAGGGGGUGACCCCGUUAUACUCAGCUCCAAUGCCCACCCCAGAGCCAGUUGCAGCUCACCCACUGCUGUACCAGGACUCAAUGCCCUCUUACCAGCUGGGAUGGGUCUUGGCCCAUAUGCUAUCUGAGGGAUCCACGUCUACCUGAACAUUCCCCAUCCCCCACCCUUUCCCCCCCGUGUCUCCUGCAGCUUCCAGCUCCUUUGAGUUUGCAGUUACUUCUCCGGUUCCUCCCACAAAGACCAGUCCUGCAGGGACCAUCUCCAGCCCCAGCCCGCUCAGCCACUUGGCAUGUGUCACCUUCUGUAAAGAAAGGGGUCGGCAGUUGAUCCACUCUGAUGUGGCACAGGCACUGCUGGAGCAUCGCAAGACCAUGUAGGUCCAACCACUCCUAGCUGUGGAGGAGGAGACUUGUUGCUGCUCCUACCUGGAGGAUAGGCAGCUGAGAUGGAGCAGCAGCAGCGUCAUCAGCCCCUGCCUUUGCAUGUGAACACCAGGCAGCCAGACAGGCGCAGGCCUCCUCUACUGCAGCCGCCCGCCUGGGCCUGUCCCUGUCCCAUACAUUCCAUUUACGCAAAAGA
Molecule: long non-coding RNA, 1428 nt
Organism: Alligator mississippiensis (American alligator)
Lineage: Eukaryota; Metazoa; Chordata; Crocodylia; Alligatoridae
Exons: 3
Source: RefSeq, a predicted model, not a curated record